Molecule: RNase P RNA, 348 nt
Filed under: bovine gut metagenome
Description: Bacterial RNase P class A
Rfam family: Bacterial RNase P class A
About the family: Ribonuclease P (RNase P) is a ubiquitous endoribonuclease, found in archaea, bacteria and eukarya as well as chloroplasts and mitochondria. Its best characterised activity is the generation of mature 5'-ends of tRNAs by cleaving the 5'-leader elements of precursor-tRNAs.
Source: RNAcentral
AGCAGGCCGAGCAGCCGCGCGCGCAGGCCGAAAGGCCGCGCGUGAGGAAAGUCCGGGCUCCAUAGGGCAAGGAUAACGGGUAACACCCGCCAGGGGCGACCCUCGGACAAGUGCAACAGAAAGAUACCGCCGCCGCUGCGUGGCAGCGGCGGUAAGGGUGGAAACGUGCGGUAAGAGCGCACGUGUCGGCUGGAGACAGUCCGAUGCUGUAAACUCUAUCCGGAGCAACACCGCGGAGGGACAUGCAGGCCGGCCCGGCCGUCCCAGGGAGGUGGCUGGAGCGCGCCGGCAACGACGCGCCUAGAUAGAUGGCUGCUGAACACAGAACCCGGCUUACAGACCGGCUCG